CCUACGGGGGGCAGCAGUGGGGAAUAUUGGGCAAUGGAGGCAACUCUGACCCAGCAACGCCGCGUGAAUGAUGAAGGUCUUCGGAUUGUAAAGUUCUUUUCUAAGGGAAGAAGAAAGUGACGGUACCUUAGGAAUAAGCCACGGCUAACUACGUGCCAGCAGCCGCGGUAAUACGUAGGUGGCAAGCGUUGUCCGGAUUUACUGGGUGUAAAGGGCGUGCAGCCGGGCCGACAAGUCAGAUGUGAAAUCCGCGGGCUUAACCCGCGAACUGCAUUUGAAACUAUAGGUCUUGAGUGCCGGAGAGGUAAUCGGAAUUCCUUGUGUAGCGGUGAAAUGCGUAGAUAUAAGGAGGAACACCAGUGGCGAAGGCGGAUUACUGGACGGUAACUGACGGUGAGGCGCGAAAGCGUGGGGAGCAAACAGGAUUAGAUACCCCUGUAGUC
Molecule: ribosomal RNA, 443 nt
Filed under: uncultured bacterium
Lineage: Bacteria
Description: partial 16S ribosomal RNA
Rfam family: Bacterial small subunit ribosomal RNA
Source: RNAcentral